CAAGCAGGCGCGCAAAUUACCCACUCCCAGAACGGGGAGGUAGUGACGAAAAAUAACAAUACGGGACUCUUUUGAGACCCCGUAAUUGGAAUGAGUACACUCUAAAUCCUUUAACGAGGAUCCAUUGGAGGGUAAGUCUGGUGCCAGCAACCGCGGUAAUUCCAGCUCCAAUAGCGUAUAUUAAAGUUGUUGCGGUUAAAAAGCUCGUAGUUGGAUCUCAGUUCCAGACGGGUGGUCCUCCUACCGGUGGUUACUGCCUGUUCUGAACAGUCAGCCGGUUUCUCUUGAUGAUCUUCACCGGUUGUCUUGGGUGACCGGCAAGUUUACUUUGAAAAAAUUAGAGUGCUCAAAGCAGGCGUGACGCCUGAAUAAUGGUGCAUGGAAUAAUGGAAUAGGACCUCGGUUCUAUUUUGUUGGUUUUCGGAACACGAGGUAAUGAUUAAGAGGGACAGACGGGGGCAUUCGUAUUGCGACGCUAGAGGUGAAAUUCUUGGACCGUCGCAAGACGAACUACUGCGAAAGCAUUUGCCAAGAAUGUUUCCAUUAAUCAAGAACGAAAGUUAGAGGUUCGAAGGCGAUCAGAUACCGCCCUAGUUCUAACCAUAAACGAUGCCAGCCAGCGAUCCGGCUGUGUUCCUCAAAUGACACGCCGGGCAGCUUCCGGGAAACCAAAGCUUUUGGUUGC
RNAcentral lists this ribosomal RNA (685 nucleotides) under Allagelena difficilis. RNAcentral's name for it is "SSU rRNA". It matches the Rfam family "Eukaryotic small subunit ribosomal RNA", at positions 425 to 1115 of the family's 1831-position model. The record is from RNAcentral. Lineage: Eukaryota; Metazoa; Arthropoda; Arachnida; Araneae; Agelenidae.